UGGCGGCGUGCCUAAUACAUGCAAGUCGAGCGCGGGAAGCGGACUCGUCACCCUUCGGGGUGUCUAGUCCGUGGAACGAGCGGCGGGUGGGUGAGUAUCACGUGGGCAACCUGCCUGUAAGAUUGGGAUAACUCGCGGAAACGUGAGCCAAUACCGAAUGAAGUCUUUCACCGCCUGGUGAAAGGAUGAAAGAUGGCUUUUUAGCUAUCACUUACAGAUGGGCCCGCGGCGCAUUAGCUAGUUGGUGGGGUAAAGGCCUACCAAGGCGACGAUGCGUAGCCGACCUGAGAGGGUGAUCGGCCACACUGGGACUGAGACACGGCCCAGACUCCUACGGGAGGCAGCAGUAGGGAAUCUUCCGCAAUGGACGAAAGUCUGACGGAGCAACGCCGCGUGAGUGAUGAAGGUCUUCGGAUCGUAAAACUCUGUUGUCAGGGAAGAACAAGUUGUGUUCUAACAGGACAUGACCUUGACGGUACCUGACCAGAAAGCCCCGGCUAACUACGUGCCAGCCGCUGC
Molecule: ribosomal RNA, 519 nt
Filed under: uncultured bacterium
Lineage: Bacteria
Description: bacterial SSU rRNA
Rfam family: Bacterial small subunit ribosomal RNA
Source: RNAcentral